Molecule: unclassified non-coding RNA, 504 nt
Filed under: Hevea brasiliensis (rubber tree)
Lineage: Eukaryota; Viridiplantae; Streptophyta; Magnoliopsida; Malpighiales; Euphorbiaceae
Source: RNAcentral
GCAUCCAAAGGACAUGGCCGGUUGGCGUCAAGUCUAGCCCAGGGCUUCCCUUUACCGCUCCAAUGCAAGAGACUCACCGGACCCGGAUGUAAAUCUCUACAGAGACCUCUAAAAUUAUCUCCGCCGAGCCCGUGCUGGUUCCACCGGUGAUCAACAGGCACUAUAUUCCCUGCAAAAACCAGCAAAAAUGGCGGCAAAGAACCCAGUUCGUAUAUUCUCAUUCUCUUUUGCAGCUCCAUCCACUCCUCAAUCUUUGAAGUGUAAUCUCCAGCCCUCCAUCGAUAGAGAUCGAUGACCAUAACUCCAGUAUUAAAGUAACACGCUUUUCUAUCCGCAAAUGUGAGUGAUAAAGAAGGGUUAGACCAGAAAGUUGGUGUGAAAUAAAUAGUGAAAUUCGCAUUGCAGUACUCAGGAGCUGCAAGAACAGAUUUUUCACCCAGCGGAGUAGCGGCGAGCUUGGCAAUGUCCUCGACGAGGACGAGGGCUGAGGCGAGGGAGACGACU